GCCCGGGUGGCGGAAUUGGCAGACGCGUCCGACUUAAGAUCGGAUACCGCAAGGUGUGUGGGUCCAAGUCCCACCCCGGGCACCA
This 85-nucleotide transfer RNA is filed under the name bacterium. Its description in RNAcentral is "tRNA-Leu". It matches the Rfam family "tRNA". Rfam says of the family: Transfer RNA (tRNA) molecules are approximately 80 nucleotides in length. The record is from RNAcentral.